This 343-nucleotide ribosomal RNA is filed under the name Nostoc sp. HG1. RNAcentral's name for it is "bacterial SSU rRNA". It matches the Rfam family "Bacterial small subunit ribosomal RNA", at positions 475 to 823 of the family's 1533-position model. The record is from RNAcentral. Lineage: Bacteria; Bacillati; Cyanobacteriota; Cyanophyceae; Nostocales; Nostocaceae.
GUACCGGGAGAAUAAGCUCCGGCUAACUCCGUGCCAGCAGCCGCGGUAAUACGGAGGGAGCUAGCGUUGUUCGGAAUUACUGGGCGUAAAGCGUACGUAGGCGGUUAUUCAAGUCAGAGGUGAAAGCCUGGAGCUCAACUCCAGAACUGCCUUUGAAACUAGAUAGCUAGAAUCUUGGAGAGGUCAGUGGAAUUCCGAGUGUAGAGGUGAAAUUCGUAGAUAUUCGGAAGAACACCAGUGGCGAAGCGGCCGCUGGACAUGUAUUGACGCUGAGUGCGAAAGCGUGGGAGCAAACAGGAUUAGAUACCCUGGUAGUCCACGCCGUAACGAUAUAACUAGCUGU